GAUGAACGCUGGCGGCGUGCCUAAUACAUGCAAGUCGAGCGAACAGACGAGGAGCUUGCUCCUCUGACGUUAGCGGCGGACGGGUGAGUAACACGUGGAUAACCUACCUAUAAGACUGGGAUAACUUCGGGAAACCGGAGCUAAUACCGGAUAAUAUAUUGAACCGCAUGGUUCAAUAGUGAAAGACGGUUUUGCUGUCACUUAUAGAUGGAUCCGCGCCGCAUUAGCUAGUUGGUAAGGUAACGGCUUACCAAGGCAACGAUGCGUAGCCGACCUGAGAGGGUGAUAGGCCACACUGGAACUGAGACACGGUCCAGACUCCUACGGGAGGCAGCAGUAGGGAAUCUUCCGCAAUGGGCGAAAACUUGACGGAGCAACGCCGCGUGAGUGAUGAAGGUCUUCGGAUCGUAAAACUCUGUUAUUAGGGAAGAACAAAUGUGUAAGUAACUAUGCACGUCUUGACGGUACCUAAUCAGAAAGCCACGGCUAACUACGUG
This 497-nucleotide ribosomal RNA is filed under the name uncultured bacterium. Its description in RNAcentral is "partial 16S ribosomal RNA". It matches the Rfam family "Bacterial small subunit ribosomal RNA", at positions 28 to 507 of the family's 1533-position model. The record is from RNAcentral.